RNAcentral lists this ribosomal RNA (301 nucleotides) under uncultured bacterium. Its description in RNAcentral is "partial 16S ribosomal RNA". It matches the Rfam family "Bacterial small subunit ribosomal RNA", at positions 509 to 809 of the family's 1533-position model. The record is from RNAcentral.
CAGUAGCCGCGGUAAUACGAAGGGUGCAAGCGUUAAUCGGAAUUACUGGGCGUAAAGCGUGCGUAGGCGGUGAGUUAAGUCUGCUGUGAAAUCCCCGGGCUCAACCUGGGAAUGGCAGUGGAUACUGGCUCGCUAGAGUGUGUCAGAGGAUGGUGGAAUUCCCGGUGUAGCGGUGAAAUGCGUAGAGAUCGGGAGGAACAUCAGUGGCGAAGGCGGCCAUCAGGGACAACACUGACGCUGAGGCACGAAAGCGUGGGGAGCAAACAGGAUUAGAUACCCCCGUAGUCCCUGUCUCUUAUAA